This is a long non-coding RNA of Notothenia coriiceps (black rockcod), 310 nucleotides long. RefSeq lists it as uncharacterized. NCBI's taxonomy places the organism in Eukaryota, Metazoa, Chordata, Actinopteri, Perciformes, Nototheniidae. The transcript is spliced from 4 exons. The record is from RefSeq and is a predicted model, not a curated record.
AGAUGUCGAGCUUUGUCAAUCUCCGUCUGCUGAUCAGGAGGACGACUUCUGAAGCUUCUGAGAAAAGCACCUGAUCAGCAGAUGUCGAGCUUCUGUCAAUCCUCCGUCUGCUGAUCAGGAGAUGCUCCAGAAGUGGUGAAGAUGCUGAUCGGAAGAUGUUAUUAGUAUUGUGGCUGCGCUCCAUCAUCCCCAGAGGGCAGCGUUUCCUGAGAGAUCCAAAUUCUCCCCGAUAAUCCUGUCCCUCUCCGAAGCCAUUGGUCAACAGUUAAUUUGUGUUUCCAUUAAUAAAGAUUGUCUUUAUCCCUUCUUA